This 560-nucleotide long non-coding RNA is filed under the name Suricata suricatta (meerkat). RNAcentral's name for it is "lncRNA (ENSSSUG00005023393.1)". Lineage: Eukaryota; Metazoa; Chordata; Mammalia; Carnivora; Herpestidae. The record is from RNAcentral.
CUUCAAACCCAUCGAUUUUCCUCCUCCUUCGUUAUCAUUUGGGUCCUCAUUUCCCUUGGAAAUUGCCCUUUGUUUUGAAUUGGAGCAGAAGAGGGAAGAAGGAAACACACAAAGGCCCAUUUUCUCCUCGCUUCCCGUUUUCCCACUGGGGAGACCCUGUUACAGGCAGCCAGAGUCUGGCCAAGCAACCAGUUCGGGACCAUGAGAAGCUGCCGCUCACACCGACCCCAGCCCAGGGCAGCUUGGUGCCUGCAAGCAGUGCCUGCCGCAGGGUCUACAGCUCAGGACGGAGAGACCAGCCCCGCACAGGCCCCGGAAGAAGAUUGUCUUGUCUCCUUGGCUGCUCGGUAACUCCGGCUCUCGUACACGGAUGGGGAACUCGUUGCUGCAAAUUGUCACCAAGCUCUUCAGGCUACCUGAACCCUCUCUGAGAGUGCGAGUGGCUGCGUCGGGCUGGUGAUGGCUCCGAGGAAGAGGCCGGGGCUGGCAGCUGUCUGGGUACCCACUCUAGGUGGAACCCGGAGGUAGUUAACGUUGUCUAUAUAUACCCUGUAGAACCG